AGCGUAUAAGUUUCGCGGAACGACUGCAGAGCUGUGUGCGAAACGAAGUUGACUAAUCCUCGCCGUGUUGAAGUUCAAAUUAAAUUCACUAUAUAUAAUAUAUACGCUUUAUACGUGUGUGUGUUUACUUAACAUUUGAAUUUCAAUCUGUCAGAGAGAUAAGAGCCAAGCUUUUAAAAGUUGUUUGACGCGACCUUCUCACGGUAUACGAUAAUGUUAUGUGUG
Cinara cedri is the source of this 225-nucleotide non-coding RNA. The record is from the annotation of a GenBank genome assembly. NCBI's taxonomy places the organism in Eukaryota, Metazoa, Arthropoda, Insecta, Hemiptera, Aphididae.